CCCUUAGAUGUUCUGGGCCGCACGCGCGCUACAAUGAUGAAUUCAACGAGUUUGUAACCUUGGUUGAAAAGCCUGGGUAAUCUUUUGAACUUUCGUCGUGAUGGGGCUAGACCCUUGCAAUUAUUGGUCUCCAACGAGGAAUUCCUAGUAAACGCAAGUCAUCAGCUUGCAUUGAUUACGUCCCUGCCCUUUGUACACACCGCCCGUCGCACCUACCGAUUGAAUGGUCCGGUGAAAUCUUCGGAUUGAGACUUUGAUUUCUUCACGGAAAACGCUGUUUUAAAAAGUUGAUUAAACCUUACCAUUUAGAGGAAGGUGAAGUCGUAACA
RNAcentral lists this ribosomal RNA (329 nucleotides) under uncultured eukaryote. RNAcentral's name for it is "partial 18S ribosomal RNA". It matches the Rfam family "Eukaryotic small subunit ribosomal RNA", at positions 1470 to 1796 of the family's 1831-position model. The record is from RNAcentral.